This 64-nucleotide transfer RNA is filed under the name Pseudotrapelus sinaitus (Sinai agama). RNAcentral describes it as "tRNA-Arg". Lineage: Eukaryota; Metazoa; Chordata; Lepidosauria; Squamata; Agamidae. The record is from RNAcentral.
AAGAGAUUAGUUUAACAAAAACAGCUAACUUCGAACUAGCAAAUUUAGACCCCUAAAUCUCUAA